Molecule: long non-coding RNA, 500 nt
Filed under: Suricata suricatta (meerkat)
Lineage: Eukaryota; Metazoa; Chordata; Mammalia; Carnivora; Herpestidae
Description: lncRNA (ENSSSUG00005017926.1)
Source: RNAcentral
AAGAAAUGGAAUGAGGGCAGAAUGGCCUCACUGACCUUGUCCUUGACCCUAGCAGGAGGCAUCUCCAAGUUUGCCAGCCUGGAGAACAUCCCCCAGAGAGCCCAGAAGAGACAGCAGAAGCUACAACUUGUCCUGCCGGGGGAGCUCCUGUCCUAUUUGGCCAACAGAACAUUCAAGGCCCAAAAGAACCCACCAUCAAGAAGCUCAGGGACAGGCAGCUACCAAGCCCCCAACGGAGCCCAGUACCAGAGGCAGAUCACACCCCAGGGACCAGCUCCAGUGAGACCUCUUCCUCAGCACCUGGGACCCUCGGAGUACACUAGGCCAGCUAUCCCAUUGGAGGCAAAGAACAUUGUGAAGAAAUGGGGCUCCCCUGAGGGCCGGAAUAAGAGGAGGUGACCCUGCUUCAUCUCCUUCUUUGCUUUUCCCCAAGGCCUAUUUACCUGUUAUGAAAGGUUAUAUCUAUUUGUAGCAAAUGCUGGAUUUGAAUACUAUUAUCU